RNAcentral lists this ribosomal RNA (510 nucleotides) under uncultured bacterium. RNAcentral describes it as "partial 16S ribosomal RNA". It matches the Rfam family "Bacterial small subunit ribosomal RNA", at positions 28 to 507 of the family's 1533-position model. The record is from RNAcentral.
GACGAACGCUGGCGGCGUGCUUAACACAUGCAAGUCGAACGAAGAGCGAUGGAAGCUUGCUUCUAUCAAUCUUAGUGGCGAACGGGUGAGUAACGCGUAAUCAACCUGCCCUUCAGAGGGGGACAACAGUUGGAAACGACUGCUAAUACCGCAUACGAUCUAACCUCGGCAUCGAGGAUAGAUGAAAGGUGGCCUCUACAUGUAAGCUAUCACUGAAGGAGGGGAUUGCGUCUGAUUAGCUAGUUGGAGGGGUAACGGCCCACCAAGGCGAUGAUCAGUAGCCGGUCUGAGAGGAUGCACGGCCACAUUGGGACUGAGACACGGCCCAGACUCCUACGGGAGGCAGCAGUGGGGAAUCUUCCGCAAUGGACGAAAGUCUGACGGAGCAACGCCGCGUGAGUGAUGACGGCCUUCGGGUUGUAAAGCUCUGUUAAUCGGGACGAAAGGCCUCCUUGCGAAUAGUUAGAAGGAUUGACGGUACCGGAAUAGAAAGCCACGGCUAACUACGUG